Citrus sinensis (sweet orange) is the source of this 107-nucleotide non-coding RNA. The record is from Rfam. NCBI's taxonomy places the organism in Eukaryota, Viridiplantae, Streptophyta, Magnoliopsida, Sapindales, Rutaceae.
AUACCAAGAUGAGGAUAUCUCCUAAGUAACUCCUUGAAUCUUUCAUAUGCAUCAUACAAAAUCUUAUCUUCAAGUUGAUAGAAAUAUGUUAUCUCAUUCGUCAAUUU